GCGCCGUUAGCUCAGUUGGUAGAGCAGCUGACUCUAAUCAGCGGGUCCGGGGUUCGAAACCCUGACGGCGCACCA
Molecule: transfer RNA, 75 nt
Filed under: Mycobacterium tuberculosis variant bovis
Lineage: Bacteria; Bacillati; Actinomycetota; Actinomycetes; Mycobacteriales; Mycobacteriaceae
Description: tRNA-OTHER
Rfam family: tRNA
About the family: Transfer RNA (tRNA) molecules are approximately 80 nucleotides in length. Their secondary structure includes four short double-helical elements and three loops (D, anti-codon, and T loops). Further hydrogen bonds mediate the characteristic L-shaped molecular structure. tRNAs have two regions of fundamental functional importance: the anti-codon, which is responsible for specific mRNA codon recognition, and the 3' end, to which the tRNAs corresponding amino acid is attached (by aminoacyl-tRNA synthetases). tRNAs cope with the degeneracy of the genetic code in two manners: having more than one tRNA (with a specific anti-codon) for a particular amino acid; and 'wobble' base-pairing, i.e. permitting non-standard base-pairing at the 3rd anti-codon position.
Source: RNAcentral